UUGGACUCAACGCCGGAAAACUCACCGGGGGCGACAGCAAUAUGUAGGUCAAGCUAAAGACUUUACCAGAAUCGCUGAGAGGAGGUGCAUGGCCGUCGUCAGUUCGUACUGUGAAGCAUCCUGUUAAGUCAGGCAACGAGCGAGACCCGUGCCCACUGUUGCCAGCAUGUCCUUCGGGAUGAUGGAUACUCUGUGGGGACCGCCGAUGCUAAAUCGGAGGAAGGUGCGGGCUACGGUAGGUCAGUAUGCCCCGAAUCUCCCGGGCUACACGCGGGCUACAAUGACUGGGACAAUGGGCUCCUACCCCGAAAGGGGAAGGAAAUCUCUUAAAGCCAAUCGUAGUUCGGAUUGAGGGCUGCAACUCGCCCUCAUGAAGCUGGAAUCCGUAGUAAUCGCGUUUCAACAGAACGCGGUGAAUACGUCCCUGCUCCUU
This 433-nucleotide ribosomal RNA is filed under the name uncultured Methanomethylovorans sp. RNAcentral describes it as "bacterial SSU rRNA". It matches the Rfam family "Archaeal small subunit ribosomal RNA", at positions 906 to 1338 of the family's 1478-position model. The record is from RNAcentral. Lineage: Archaea; Methanobacteriati; Methanobacteriota; Methanomicrobia; Methanosarcinales; Methanosarcinaceae.